ACACUUCAACGGCCGCGGUAUCCUAACCGUGCAAAGGUAGCAUAAUCACUUGCCCAUUAAUUGUGGGCUAGAAUGAAAGGACUAACGAAACUAGCCCUGUCUCUAUAAGUACCAUAAAAAUUAAUCUUUAGCUGAAGAGUGCUAAAUAAAAUCGAAGGACAAGAAGACCCUAUAGAGCUUUAUUUUUAAGGGGGUUAUCCUUCAUAUAAAUUCGGUUGGGGCGACCAAGGAUAAAUAUAUCAUCCUUAAAUUAAAGAUAAAUUUAUCUAUAAAAUGACCCUUAAAUAAGAGCAUAAAAUCAAGCUACCUUAGGGAUAACAGGCUAAUCCCUCUAAAGAGUCCUCAUCUAUAGUGGGGGUUGGCACCUCGAUGUUGGCUUAGGGAAACUUCAUAGUGCAAAAGCUAAGAAAAGAUGGUUUGUUCAACCAAUAAAACCCUACAUGAGCUGAGUUCAGACCGGCGUAAGCCAGGUUAGUUUCUAUCCUCGAUACAUUAAUCCUAUCUACAGUACGAAAGGACCUAGAUAAGGGUAACUAUUAUAAAAAAAGAAUUAAUAUAAACUACAUUAAACAACCAAUAUUCAUACACUAUG
This 592-nucleotide ribosomal RNA is filed under the name Diporodrilus pilosus. RNAcentral's name for it is "partial 16S ribosomal RNA". The stretch from base 1 to 506 matches the Rfam family "Bacterial large subunit ribosomal RNA", at positions 1919 to 2925 of the family's 2925-position model. Lineage: Eukaryota; Metazoa; Annelida; Clitellata; Crassiclitellata; Lumbricidae. The record is from RNAcentral.